Molecule: long non-coding RNA, 1439 nt
Organism: Homo sapiens (human)
Lineage: Eukaryota; Metazoa; Chordata; Mammalia; Primates; Hominidae
Source: Ensembl
CUUGGUGUUUCCUCGGUCUUACAGCUCCAUUGUGCUUUGUGGUUCUGUGUAGUAGCUCUAUAGGAAGGAGGUCCUAAUAUCAUGGUUGGCCAUUGAUCUUGACCAUUUUCAAAAUUUUCAAGAUCAGAGCUGGUCUCCUCUCAGAGGAGAGGAGAGGUGAUUUUACAGAAGCAGAACCACAGACUCCCUACUUUUUGUCUCUGCUUCAGGUUUAGGACCCCUGUUUCUCUCUUCCCCUUAUUGUCAAGGAACGUGAGUACUUCCCAGACUUUAGGGACAAAAUCCCAAGACAGCUAAGAGAAGAUUCAAUGGGAAAGAGAGUAAAACCGGAACAGAGUGAAAAGAGCCUUAUGGUUUCAGCUUGAAAAUUCUGGAUUUCACGAAGAGAUUUUAAAGGGGCUUCAGCAGUCAUAUGCAUGAACCCUGCUCCCAGGAAAACACCAGCAGAAAUACAGCCCAGGAGUCUGAGGACUAGCCGGUGAUGACCUAAUAAAAAGCAGAAGUUACAACCCACUUGACACUGAGGAGACAGACAAAGCAAACCCACAUCAAGGGUGUCUGUUCGCGUUUGAAAUUCAUCGGCACCAGAAAGAGCUAACAUGUUGGCAGUAUCUAGAAAACCAUCAACAUGAGCAUGGGACAGUUCGCUUUGCAGCUGAUCCCACCAUAGUGAGGAGGACGUCUUGCUCUGUUACCUAUGCUGAAGUGCAGUGUUACAAUCAAAGUUCACUGUAGCCUUAACACCUGGGCUCAAGUGAUCCUCUUGCCUCAGCUUCCUGAGUGGCUGGAAAUGCAGACACAUGCCACCGUGCCCAGCUUCUACACUUUUUAAGAAUCACAAAAUCCACUUCCAUUCUUCAAAAAUUUAUUAUUUAUUAUUAAAAAUCUCAAACAAACACAGACAUAUGGGGAUACCAGCAUUCCCCUCCUGGAUACCAGGCAGCUUCAGCCCUGGCAGGCACGAUAGAAGAAAAUACUUGUUACACAUCCUCAUCAACUCUCAGAGGGAUCCUGAGCCGUAGAUGGAGGAAACGCAGACGGAGUAAGCACAGGAUGUUUGCUUCCUGCUGCAAUAUCCCCAGGUACCUACCCAGCUGAAGGGGAUGGGAUGGUACGCCUGUGAGAAGCUACAGGCCAGGUUGGUCAACUGGGGACAAGGGAGUUCAUGGGGACACUGUGAACACAUAAAAAAAUGAGGUAAGACAAAAGAGCCAUCAAUCACAAAACUUAAAAACUGAGAAUAAUAGAGUCAAAAGGGGCCAGGGAGAAGGGAGGACAGGAGCAGUGGGUAGGAAGAGCCAGGGGAAUCAUUAGGUAGGAACUGGAUAGGAACACAAAGUAGUGGAGAGUGGCUUAGCUUUACCAUCUUACAUUUCCCGGCCACGCCUAAGUUCAGAUCCGUGUGGUGGGACAGGCAGAAGUAAUACUCACCGGGGCAA